RNAcentral lists this ribosomal RNA (422 nucleotides) under Tenacibaculum sp. RNAcentral describes it as "bacterial SSU rRNA". It matches the Rfam family "Bacterial small subunit ribosomal RNA", at positions 355 to 774 of the family's 1533-position model. The record is from RNAcentral. Lineage: Bacteria; Pseudomonadati; Bacteroidota; Flavobacteriia; Flavobacteriales; Flavobacteriaceae.
UGAGGAAUAUUGGUCAAUGGAGGCAACUCUGAACCAGCCAUGCCGCGUGCAGGAAGACUGCCCUAUGGGUUGUAAACUGCUUUUAUACAGGAAGAAACAGAACUACGUGUAGUUCCUUGACGGUACUGUAAGAAUAAGCACCGGCUAACUCCGUGCCAGCAGCCGCGGUAAUACGGAGGGUGCAAGCGUUAUCCGGAAUCAUUGGGUUUAAAGGGUCCGCAGGCGGUCAAUUAAGUCAGAGGUGAAAUCCCAUAGCUUAACUAUGGAACUGCCUUUGAUACUGGUUGACUUGAGUUAUACGGAAGUAGAUAGAAUAAGUAGUGUAGCGGUGAAAUGCAUAGAUAUUACUUAGAAUACCGAUUGCGAAGGCAGUCUACUACGUAUAUACUGACGCUCAUGGACGAAAGCGUGGGGAGCGAACA